This 274-nucleotide ribosomal RNA is filed under the name uncultured bacterium. Its description in RNAcentral is "partial 16S ribosomal RNA". It matches the Rfam family "Bacterial small subunit ribosomal RNA", at positions 523 to 796 of the family's 1533-position model. The record is from RNAcentral.
AUACGGAGGGUGCAAGCGUUGUUCGGAAUUACUGGGCGUAAAGAGCGUGUAGGCGGCAUGGCAAGUCGAAUGUGAAAUCCCCGGGCUCAACCCGGGAACUGCAUCCGAAACUUCCAAGCUAGAGUCCCGGAGAGGAAGGCAGAAUUCCCAAUGUAGGGGUGAAAUCCGUAGAUAUUGGGAGGAAUACCAGUGGCGAAGGCGGCCUUCUGGACGGUGACUGACGCUGAGACGCGAAAGCGUGGGGAGCAAACAGGAUUAGAUACCCCGGUAGUCC